Long non-coding RNA from Herpailurus yagouaroundi (jaguarundi), 709 nucleotides. RefSeq lists it as uncharacterized. NCBI's taxonomy places the organism in Eukaryota, Metazoa, Chordata, Mammalia, Carnivora, Felidae. The record is from RefSeq and is a predicted model, not a curated record. The transcript is spliced from 2 exons.
GCCUCCAGUUCCCACAGUGGGUCACAGUCAGAGGGCGGCACCCAGUUCCCACCGUGGGUCACUGUCAGUGGGUCACAGUCAGAGGGCGGCCUCUAGUUCCCACAGUGGGUCACAGUCAGAGGGCAGCACCCAGUUCCCACAGUGGGUCACGGUCCGUGAGUCACAGUCAGAGGGCGGCCUCCAGGUCCCACCAUGGGUCACGGUCAGUGGGUCAGUCAGAGGGUGGCAUCCACUUCCGACAGUGGGUCACAAUCAGAGGCCUCGUGUUUGCCUGAAGGGUUGCACACUGUUUGCUGAAGCUAGUUUGGGUCGAGGGGCUGUUUUGUUCAUGGUCCUGUGCUGCCUGUUGAGGCACCACAGCGGUGUCUUCGGGGACCUGUGGAUGUGUCCUCCCGUGAGAAACAAGUAAAGACACUCCUGCUUCCUGGUCUCAGGCCAACACCUGGGCCUGGAGCCUGGGCCCCCUGCGGCUCCCCAGGGAGGCGGGCUGGCAGGCAGAGGGCAGGACCGUGCGUCCGCAUGCCCACACCACCAGCACCCGGGACGCCGCAGCCGCCUGUGCGCCCCAAGACGUUUGCGGCACGUCCUGGGGUCCGAAGAUACUCAAGUGAUGACCCAUGUGGCUCCUUAGAGGGUUGCCUCCAAAAAGCCGAUUUUAGUCUGUUUUUUUCCUCCCAUUCUAAUCUCUAAUACGUAAUCACCUGCGGUU